UUUCUUAUUUUGUGUGAUCAUGAUUAAAUUAUAUUAGUAAUUUAUAUUAUAUUUUUAUAAAGAUAAUAAGAUAAAAAAUAAUAAAAAUAUAAAAUAUUGAUGUGCCGUGAUUGUACAAAUAAGAGGAGAUUAGAAGGUAUCCAAACAAGAAGGCAGACAAUCUGCCUCCCUCUAUAUAACCACCUUCUACCCUUUGCAGUGUCUGUCAAAGCAGUCGGAUACUUCUUGUAUAACCACUCUCGACCCUUUGUAGUUUUCUUUCUCUGAUCAAACUUGAUAGGUAUGGGUGCAGCAACCUGCAUUGACAUCAUCCUCGCCAUACUCUUACCACCUCUUGGUGUCUUCCUUAGGUUUGGCUGUCAUGUAAGUUUUUCUCUUUCGCGUCCGUUAUUUUAUAGAUGUUGUACGUCAUACAAACACAUAUUACAUACUAAAAUUGUUUGACUGUGGAUAGCCCAUCAUACAAACACGUCUCGCAUAGUAACACUGCUUGAAUCAUCAUAGUUGUGGAAUUCAUAGAUGUAAUGUUCAUCGAUGCCCUAAUAUGUGUAUGGUCUGUGUUUAUGUGUGUCUUGAAACAGAAUUUUCAUGCAGUUAUUUUUAUGAGGAAUUUUGAUGUUUACAUGUGGUGGUUUUGAUGAUUUGCAGUCGGAGUUUUGGAUCUGUUUGCUGCUGACUGUGCUUGGUUACAUCCCUGGUAUUUUAUAUGCCCUCUAUAUCAUCACCAAGUGAUCCUUUCAAUUUGUGUAAUGUAAGCACCAACUUCUCUAUCAAUCAAUAUUUCUUGUUUUAAUUUUAUUUAUUUAUUUAUUUAUUAUUAUUAUUAUAGUGAAGGUGUGAUAUUAAUUGAUGAUCGAAUGAAUACGUAAAAAGAGGGUAAAGUGCUUUAAAAUGGGGCCUUGAAAUUUUUGUUUUUUCAUCGGGCUUGUUUUGAUUUGGAUAUUUCAUUCAUCCGAAUAUCUUAAUCUUUUGAGAAAAUUAGAGCAGACUUUGGCUCAAUUAGAGCUUUGGUAUUUGAAGUAAAAAUCUGCAAGUUUAGGUUCCUGAAUUUCUUAUAAUGUGGAGCAAUGGUUUUUUUUUUCUAACUCUAUUAGAACUUUUAUCCAAAAUAAAGGGUUUAAAGACGCAAAAAAUGUGUGGAGGUUCUAACGGAUUUAGCCAAUAUGACUGUUGCUCCACAUUAUUACAAAUUCAGAUUUUAACACCAACGAAUUUUUAGUUUAUGAAUCAAAGUUCUAGUUAAGUUAAAAUUAAGAGAUUAUUACUCUAAUUAUCUCUAAUAUUUUUAAAGGAAUAAAACUUCGUCAUUAAGCAAAUAUGCCUUUCCUUGGUUUAUCAACCCUACUAUCAUAUAGUUCGACAGAGAAAAUGAUUUGGGUCUAAUUGAAAAUGACCUGCACUAAUUUAUAUAUCGCCAUCCACCAAUACUUACGUGGUAUAUCUAUGCUUUAACAAAGCAGGAUUGGUGACUCGUAUUGCAUUCUGAUCCUUUUAAUGUUUUUUAUUGGACAGGUAGUUAAAGGGUGUGUGUGAAGGGCAGCUAUGUCUUUUUGUUUAUGUAUCAAGGGUUUGUUUUCAACCGUUUAAUGGAUUGGUCUUAAUCUGGUGUAGCCAAAUGGAUGGUUGAUCUCAUUCAUGUAGCGUGUAUUUAGUGCAAACGUUCAUUGUUUUUUCCUUUUAUUUUGAUUUGAAUAAAAGACUCAGAUUUGACUAUUCCCAGCACUUACUCAACGCAUUUGUUCUAAGUAAAUUAAAAAAUAUAUAUAUUUGUCAAAAAAAAAAUAUUUAUAUAAAAAAUUAAAUAAAAAAUAUUUUUACCAAAAAAAUUAUAAAAAAAAACUUUGCGUGAUGCAGUUUCUGUUGUCGCGCAGAGUCCUUUUGAGGACUCAGGUGUUGUCAUCAUCGCGCAAAGGCCUUGUGUGCAACGUAUGUUAUCCCUUUGUCGCGCAAACCUUGUUUUCACGGAUUUUGCGCGACAGUUUGCAUGUAAUGAAGAUGUCGACUAAUUUUUAAGCAACGUUUUUUGACUUUGCGCGACGAAGGUACCUGUGUCGCAUAAACUAUUUUUUGUACUGGUAACGUCAUCCCUCACAUCUUCCGCCUAAUCCUUGCCAUCCCAUCCCUCGAGCGACGGUGUUGACUACGUUUUGUGAGUGGGUGGUCUUGAGGUUUUCUCGGUGGAGGACGACAGUCUCGUCGUGGGACUAGCAGAGAGGAAGGAGGCGGUGAGAUGAAGGUGGGGUUGGGUUCGGAUGGGUUUACUGGGAUUGGGUUAGCCUGGGUUGUCGGGUUUGUGGUGGAGGAGGAGGCUACAAGAGAGAGGGAGGGUUGAAGAGAGGAAGGCUACGGGAGAGAAAGGGUAGAUAGUGAAAUUAAUGAAAAAAAAAGAGGUAUUGUUGUCCAAAAAGUUAUAAUUUUGUGUUCCAUGAGCUAGAACAAGUCGUUGGGAGGGUGGCACAAAAAUUUGACUAAAAGCCUUUCCAUGGGACCGUGCAUCCCAGACAAAUUGGCGCACGGUGGGACGAGUGUAUCUCAUCCUACUGCGUUCCGUCUCAUCUCACGUACUAAACGGCACUUUAAUGCUCUAAAUUAAUGUAUUGAAACGCAUCGGUAACUAUAAACUCGUUUUUGUGUGAGUCUCUAGUUUGGAUCAUAACGGGCGAUGACAUGAGUUUGAGAGUUGCAAAAUAUCAAACAAUAGUUACAAUACCAUAGCAGAGCUUGUCAUGGGUUUCUCAUUUUAUCCUUUCAUAAAAUACUAUACUUUUCCAAACUAUAAACGCAUCCGUAAUUCGAAUGUGAAAAUUCAAAGAAUUCCUUAAUUAAAAAAAUUAAGAAACUUUGCAAUGACAUAAUUAUUCGGAUCAAUCUUGCUGUUGCAAAGGCAUUUUAGAACUAAAUUUCAAUUCUUUCAACGGUAUAAAUAAGUAGAGAUUGACAACUUGGAUAAUAAGAGAAGAGAAUUGCAUAAUUAUGAAUAGAAAUGCUUAGGAGACUCUCUUAAAGAUGAAAUUUUUCAUAGACUUUGUGACAGCUUAUGUUUUUUUAAUACAAUAUUUUUAAUGUUAACAUGAAAAUUAACAUUAAACUAUGAGAUGAUAUAAAAUUCAAAAAAAAAUCCCACUUUCAAUAGUUUUCCAUUGCAUUUCUCUAAAAGUCAGAACUAUCUAUCUUUAGAUUGAAGGAACCUCUCAAAAAGAUAUUUUACCAUGCAUCGUGGAGGGUCCUUAUCAAGAACAAAGUUAAAAAACAUGUCGGCACGCUCAAAUUACGCAAGGCACAAGAAGCACAUUGGAAACUAACACGUGUCACGAUUAGUGGCGAAGCUACGUGGGCGAGGAGUGGCGGCCGCCCCUCCCUCGCUGGAAAUCAAGCCUAGGAACGGUGGUUUCGUCCCUCCGGUCUUGUCGAAAGUGAUGAAAUUUCAUGUGAUUUUUCAGGCCUUUUGGGUUUCCCUGCUCUAUGGCAGCACAUGAUGAUCGUGAGCUCUCUUUUUUUUUCCAAAAAAGAAAAUACAUUUAGGCCAAAGAAAGGAGGAAUGAAAAGCUGUAGUUUGCAGCUUCUAGAAAUAGAGAGGUUCUGGACGAAAAAGAAGAGAAAGGAAGAAGAGAGAGACUUUCUCUCUCCCAUCCCACCCCACGUGCCCUUUCAUAAUUACAAUUUGUUUUUUUUUUAACUAUUGACCAAAUUUGUUUUGUUUUUUAAUUAUUAUCCAAUUAAUUUUAAGAAAAAACUAAUGAAAAGAGCUUGAAAACUUUGAGUUUUAAUGAUAAAGACAAAAUAAAGGGUAAAGUGAAUAGUACCAGAAUUGACUUUUUAGUGUAAAAAUAUGGUUUUUCGUUAAAGUAAACAGUACCGGGUGUUUUUUGUUAAAGUUCCCUUAAUUUUAUCACUCUUCCAAUAUUUUUUAAAUCACUUCUUUGACAUUGUUAUUUAUCUUAAAAUUCACUAUAAAUUUAUACCAGCUUCAAAAAAUAAUUUGUAAAAUACUACGAACUCGUAGUUAUUUGUUUUUUUUUUCUCUUACCAUCAAAUUCAACAAAGUAAUAAAGAAAAUUUGUCAAGAUUUUUAUAUUAUAUGUUUUAUAAUCAAUGUUUUUCGAAUAUUAUAUGGUAUAUAAUAAAUAGACAAUUAUUUAUACUGUAUAUAAUAACUUUAUUCAAAUUUGUCUAGGUCCUUGCCUAAGUGUAAAGUCAUGUCCACCGUACGACUAGAAUUGAGCAUCUUUUAAAACUUUGUUAAUUAUAUAGUUAAGUAAUAGGACGAUACAACAAGAAACAGUGCUAAAUCAUCCUUCAAAUAAUAUUGUUUUUCAAACCCUCCUUCGACUAUUUUGAGUAGUCCAAGUCCUCUUUUGAAUAUUUCGGUUAGUGCAAAUUCUCCUAUGAAUAUUACGGGUAAUUCAAAUAAUCUUCUUGGAAAUCCUGGACUUAGACCUUGAAUGAAUGUUCACAUUUUUUCAGGACUCUAAACUUUUUAAAUUUCGUCCCUUCUCAUAAGAAUUUCUAGCUUCGCCAGUGGUCACAAUCACCAAUUUAUGGGGCCACGGGUCAGCUGUCUCCAAAUGUAUGUCUCAUUUGUGUUUCCUCUCUAUCUUUUUGACAUGUGUACAACUCCUUAACUUAAAAUUAACAUUGUUAACUUUUAUCAAAUUAAAAAAAAAACAAUAAAAAGAGAUAACAAAGGACCUAGCAGAUGUCGAAGUCCACGCAAGAUAACUCCCGCGCAGCCGUCACCGGCGGUAACCCCACUCGGGCCACUCCUACUCAUUGCCGCCAAAGCCUCCCCUCGAAUCCUCCCUCUCUCUCUCUCUCUCUUGCUCCAGGAUUCAGAUAUCCAUCUUCCCCAUUCAAUAUCCACAACCAAAUCAAACUUCUGUACGCAUAUUUUUCUAGGUCGAAUCUAUUGAUAAUUUGUCAUAAGAAUAAUAUCUCAGAUUGGGGAAGAAUCUGGGUUUUGUUGAAAAUCCCAAUAGAAUAUCUUCUGUGAAAAUUUUAAAAAAUCUUGAAAAUAAUUAAAGAAAUUGGGGAUGGUAGGCUAUAAUGGUUAUAUAUGAAAGUGAACCCACCGAGUGGGGAAAGGAAACUCCAAAAAUAAAAAUAAUAAUCAGUGGAGUGGGUUCACCGGAGAGAGAAAGAGUAAAAGAGUCUUCGCCGGCAGUGAGGGGAAGCGUCGCCGACGACUAUGGGGUGGUGUGGUUCUGUGUGUGACCAUCGGGCUAAGUUUGGCUGCUGUUGGCUUUUGGUUUUCUUUAAUUAUCAGUUUUUAUUUUUUAUUUUUAAUUCUUCUUUUAAAAGGUUAACACUGUUAAGUUUAGGGUUAAGUUGAUGACAGAUGUCAAAAAUUAAAAAAUGAGACACAUAAAUAUGGAGACAGCACAACUGUGGCCCAUUUAUGGAAAGGCAUAAUCCGUUUUCUAAUAAAAUUGUUUACGUGUACCCAGUGGUUAGCCUCCACGUGGCUCCUUCAGCAGCAGAAGUUGCAGCUCUAUAUAACCACCCUCUACUCCUUGCAGUUUCUGUCAAAGCAGUCCGAUACUUCUUGUUGUUUAACCACUCUCUACCCUUUGUUGUUUUCUUUCUCUGAUCAAACUUGAUAAGUAUGGGUACAGCAACCUGCAUCGACAUCAUCAUCGCCAUCCUCUUGCCACCUCUUGGUGUCUUCCUCAGGUUUGGCUGUCAUGUAAGUUUUUCUCUUUCGCGUCCGUUAUUUUAUAUAUGUUGUCUGUCAUACAAACACGUAUUACAUACUAAAAUUGCUUGACUGUGGAAAGUCCAUCAUACGAACACGUCUCACAUACUAACACUGCUUGAAUAAUCAUAGUAGUGGAAUUCAUAGAUGUAAAGUUCAUCGUUUCCCUAAUUUGUGUAUGGUCUGUGUUUUUGUGUCUUGAAACAGAAUUUUCGUGCAGUUGUUUUUAUGAGGAAUUUUGAUGUUUAUAUGUGGUGGUUUUGAUGAUUUGCAGUCGGAAUUUUGGAUCUGUUUGGUGCUGACUCUGUUCGGUUACCUCCCUGGUAUUAUAUAUGCCAUCUAUGCCAUCACCAAGUGAUCCUUUCAAUUUGUGUAAGCACCAACUUCUCUAAAUCAAUAUUCAUUGAUCAUCGAAGGAAUAAAAUUAGAAGAUUAUUGCUCUAUAAUUAUCUCUAAUAUUUUUAUGAAGGAAUAAAACUUCCUCAUUAAGCAAAUAUACCUUUCUUUGGUUUAUCAACCCGGACUGGGAUCACCUCCGGAUCCCAACCUUCAGAGCAAAUUGAGCAAAACAUCCCAUCCUCCAAUUUUUUAUCUUGUGGUCAGAAAUAAAUUUAAAUAUUGAAAAAUUAUCACGCAAAACAAGGUAAGAUGAAAAUAGAAGGAUGAUUUGUUUUGCUCAUGUCGCUCCGAAGGCUGGGAUCCGGAGAUGAUCCCAAUCCUCCUAUCAACCCUACUAUGAUUUGGGUCUACUUGAAAAUGACCUGCACUAAUUUAUAUGUUGUCAUCCACCAAUAAUUAUGUGGUAUAUGCUUUAACAAAGAAGGAUUAGCGACUCGUACUACAUUCUGAUCCUUUUAAUGUUUUUUAUUGGACAGGUAGGUAAAGGAUGUGUGUGGAGGGCGUCUACGUCUUUUUGUUUAUGUAUCAAGGGUUUGUUUUCAACCGUUUGAUGGAUUGGUCUUAUCUGGUGUAGCCAAAUGGAUGGUUGAUCUCAUUCAUGUAGCGUGUAUUUGGUGCAAUUGUUCCUUGUUUUUUACUCUCAUUUUGAUUUGAAUAAAAUGACUCAGAUUUGUCCCAGCACUUACUCAACGCUUUUGUUCAAAGUAAAUUGCAAGCAUCAUCGACCACCUCGAGGUGGGUUAGUGAUUGAAGACAAAUUUUAGAUCCGUAUUCUACAUGACAUGUUAUAAGUGUUUUGGCGCGUGUAAAUUAUACAUGGUGGUUAAGAAAGAAAUUGAAAUACAUAUGUAAUUCUUCUCGGCCUCCAAAAUAGUAGAUUGUGGGUGCGAAGACAUUGACUGGUCCCUUUCCUUAAGCAUGAAAUUUUUUGCAAGCAUCAUCAAAUUUUUUUGGCAAACAGCAUCAUCAAAUUUGUUGUAAAUCAUAAGCAUUACAAAGCCAAUGCUUGUUGUAAACUUAAGACAUCAAAAGGUUCCCUUCAAUAGGACUGAUCACAUUCUUCCUACCGAGUACGAAACACCACAAUUUGGCUUCAGCUUUUAAUCAAGGAAAAUUAUUUUGUUUUUCCCUUUUCUCGAUUUUUUAGAAUUGAAUAAAUCAAAGAAAUAUCAAAUAAUAAAAACAAAGAGAAGAGCUUUGAAAGAGGGAUGAAGAGUGUAAACAUCUCAACCCUUAAUCGACCACCAUUUUCGAAAUCUUAUUGAGAUAUUUUGCAUCUUGAUUUUGAUACUUAAUACCUCAUUCUAAUUGUAAACACACAAUAUCAAAUUGUCAAUUCCCAAAUUUCAUAAGAAUAUUGUCCAACUAGCUAGUCACAAAGAGUGAAGAAUAAUAUUGUCCAACUAAUCACAAAAAAUGAAGAAUAAUAUUGUUCAAUUAAGGAAUAAACAAUCUAAUAAGAUCUUCUUAAUGUCCCAAAGGGCAACCCUACUCUUUUCUUUGUGAUGCUUUCCUUUAAUUAAAAAACAAUUGGAUAACUAAUCGAAUGUGACAAUAGUAUUUUCUCUUAUUUUAUGGAAAAAGAGAAUAAUAAUGUUCUAACUUCAUACUUAAGCAAACAAGAUAUCACACCGUCUUAAUCAACUAGUCUAAUCAACAUCUGUUUUAUUUUUGUUUUCAAACUGAGGCAGGUUUCUACUUCAAGCCCAUUACUCCAUUAAUAAGCUCCCACGUGUCCCAUGUGAGAAGAAGAAGGUCUAAUCUUCUCCACGAAGAUUAUAGAUGGGACUUUAGGUUAUAAAAUGCAGAUGACGGUUUCAUCACGUGCAUAGUGUAGGCGAUUCAGAUAAGACCCCAUUGGUCGCUACAUACUUGAAGCCUCCAUCACCGCCGUAGUUCCGGAGUGCCGCGGCUACCUACGAGCCGUUAGAUUUUCCUGACAGCCUGGAGGCUGGUCGUUACUCGAGUUCAUCCCAAUGCUCGUGGGUGGCAAACAUUGCAACAUUUAAUGUGUUGUAAUGAUAAAAGAAACGAAAGAAAGGAUCUUUUAAGUAAGGAAAAGAAAAAAAUGGAGUAGAGAUGCAUGAUCACGUUAUUUUGUUAUAGAACGUCUCUUAUAAAAGCACGAGAAAAUAAUUAGUGUCAUGUAAAAAAUUAAACUCAAGUUAUUGGAUGCUCGUGCAACAGAUUAAAUUAGACUAGAAACAAAUUAGAAUUAUGCAACAAUUCCUAAUUAGUCAUCCCCUACCGAAUAGUUUAAAUUUAGGUACCAAUGAAAAAAUCAACCAAAUAAUUAUAUAAAUACUACUAUAAAUCAGAAUAAUUACAUGAUUGGCACUCAAUCUUACCACGUUUUUCGACCGGCCAACUUUUUUUUACGACCGGUUGAUCAAAUUUUCCAGCGUCUGGCCGAUCAAAAAUUUCAGUCUCAAUGUCAUUGUCCAACCGUGAACUUCACAAAAACAUGUUAAGUAAUGAAUUUUCUCAUAAACUUUCUAAUUAUUGUAUGUAUAUAUGAAGAAAAAUAAUAAACUCACACAACAAAAUAUAACUGAAGAUGAAAAAGUUGCACAAAUUGUUUUUUUUAAGUCAUUGUUGAACAGUGACUUGGAAGUUUUUUACGACCAGAAAAAAAAUGUCGGCCACAAUGACUCUGGCCAUCGACAAUUUCUGGUAGUAACAUCGGCAACAUGUGGGUCAUGUGCAAUGAAUAAAAAUAUAUAAAUGUUCAUAUGCUUAUAAGUGUAUUUGCUUGUAACAUGUCAACGAAUACAUCAAUUUUUUUUUGUUGAACAAAUACGUCAUUUAAUGAACAAAAUUUGACGAAUCCAAGCCUAUGGAAACUUGAAACACAAUAAGUUCGACCGAAAAAAAAAAGCACACUAUAUGGGUUAUAAAACUUUGUAUGCAUGGGACUGAUGUGAGAACCGCACGAGCCACGUUUUCAUGAAUCUGAAUUUCUACAUCAAAACUUAGCUGUAUGAUUCUUGCUUCUUUAUUCGGAUAUGGAUUCUGCAGCAUGCCAUAUACCACGCUGUAUGAUUCCGAUAGAACACCCAAGGGCCCCAACCCAAAAGUAAGAUCUACUCGUCCUCCGCAUAAAGAGACUUUCAGUAGCUGAAACACGAUCCGAUGAAUCAAGUAUUAUAAUAUAAGUAAUUAAAUACUUGUAAAAAUUUUAAUCAUGUAUAUUAUAAUAUUUAAUGUACUAUACUAUGUUCCCAACACAUUGAAAAAUCCUCUACGGACUUCACGGAGUUAAGGAACCGCGUAGUACAUUGUAUUGCUCUGUCUCCACCGAAUGCAUACCCUCUCCACGUGUCCCAUCAGCCCGCGGAGGAGCUGUAUAUAUAAACCACUCACCGUUUCUGUGACACCACCGCUCACAUAUCCACCAGUUGCCCUACUUCCUCUUCUUCUAAAACUCUCUCAGCUUUCCGGCAAAAAAAUUCUCAGCAAGUAUGCCGAGCGAAGGAACCCUAAACUUCGUCGACAUCCUCAUCGCCAUCCUCUUGCCUCCUCUUGGUGUCUUCCUCAAGUUUGGCUGCCAUGUUAGUACUCUUUCUUCCGAGUCGUUUAGUUUAUAGAGAUUAUACGUCACACGAACGCACAUGGUACCACUGUUUGAAUCGUUAGACCAGUAGAAAUUUACGGAUGUGAUGGUCCAGACAGUGUUCGUAUAGCGUAUUUUCUCUAAUUAAUCUGUAAAUAUAAUAUAAUUAUGAUGUAUGUGUUUUCAUGGGUAUAAUAUAUGGUGGAUUUGAUGUAUUUUCAGGUGG
This 9870-nucleotide long non-coding RNA is filed under the name Malus domestica (apple). RNAcentral's name for it is "long non-coding RNA (MDOM_LNC004106)". The record is from RNAcentral. Lineage: Eukaryota; Viridiplantae; Streptophyta; Magnoliopsida; Rosales; Rosaceae.